RNAcentral lists this ribosomal RNA (287 nucleotides) under uncultured bacterium. Its description in RNAcentral is "partial 16S ribosomal RNA". It matches the Rfam family "Bacterial small subunit ribosomal RNA", at positions 773 to 1060 of the family's 1533-position model. The record is from RNAcentral.
GUGGAUUAGAUACCCUGGUAGUCCACGCCGUAAACGAUGAUUACUAGGUGUGGGGGGUCUGACCCCUUCCGUGCCGCAGUUAACGCAAUAAGUAAUCCACCUGGGGAGUACGGCCGCAAGGCUGAAACUCAAAGGAAUUGACGGGGGCCCGCACAAGCAGUGGAUUAUGUGGUUUAAUUCGAAGCAACGCGAAGAACCUUACCAGGUCUUGACAUCUCCUGCAUAGCCUAGAGAUAGGUGAAGUCCUUCGGGACAGGAAGACAGGUGGUGCACGGUCGUCGACAGCU